UUGCUUUGGCAGCAUAUAUACUGUAAUUGGAACAAUAGAGAAGAUUAGCAUAGUUCCUACACAAGGAUGAUACAUAAAUUUGUGAAGUAUUCCAUAUUAAA
This is a small nuclear RNA of Sarcophilus harrisii (Tasmanian devil), 101 nucleotides long. NCBI's taxonomy places the organism in Eukaryota, Metazoa, Chordata, Mammalia, Dasyuromorphia, Dasyuridae. The record is from Ensembl.